GAUGAACGCUAGCUACAGGCUUAACACAUGCAAGUCGAGGGGCAGCAUGUCGGUUGCUUGCAACCGAUGAUGGCGACCGGCGCACGGGUGAGUAACGCGUAUCCAACCUUCCCUGAGGUAGGGGACAGCCCGGUGAAAACCGGAUUAAUACCCUAUGCCGUCAACGAAAAGGCAUCUGGGCGUGACGAAAGAUUCAUCGCCUCAGGAGUGGGGAUGCGUCUGAUUAGGCAGUAGGCGGGGCAACGGCCCACCUAGCCACCGAUCAGUAGGGGUUCUGAGAGGAAGGUCCCCCACAUUGGAACUGAGACACGGUCCAAACUCC
This 322-nucleotide ribosomal RNA is filed under the name uncultured Prevotella sp. Its description in RNAcentral is "bacterial SSU rRNA". It matches the Rfam family "Bacterial small subunit ribosomal RNA", at positions 28 to 339 of the family's 1533-position model. The record is from RNAcentral. Lineage: Bacteria; Pseudomonadati; Bacteroidota; Bacteroidia; Bacteroidales; Prevotellaceae.